Molecule: long non-coding RNA, 2302 nt
Organism: Cephus cinctus (wheat stem sawfly)
Lineage: Eukaryota; Metazoa; Arthropoda; Insecta; Hymenoptera; Cephidae
Exons: 2
Source: RefSeq, a predicted model, not a curated record
ACUGCUGUAAGGGUAUAUAUAGAAAGGGAGAAAGAAAACCUAAAAAGGCCAUUUCGAGGGUUCGUAGGUCACGGCUGGUAUCGAGGUAGAACGGCAAUGCAAUAUGCCGUCCCUCCUUCCUACGUCUUGACAGCAGACGACGCUCUUACUCUUAGCCACCCUCCAGGAGUCUCAAGUUAGUUCAGGAUAUAUUGGAUUUGCCACAGUACUUACCUGACUGACAUCUUUAACGCUUUGGCUGUCAGUCCACUUCCGGAAUCGGCAACGGGAUCCUCCUGGAUAUACGUGGGUCUGAAGAGGAUGUGGCACCCAUGUGUAUCUUGAAGAAGAACCAUAUAAGGAUUUCGCGAGAAUGACCCAAGAGACUGUGAGAUCCUUGGAAGUUUUUGUUUUUAAAAUUCUUGAGCAACUUUUACGUCCAUUUUUCAACAAAGAAAACACAGAUCUCUUAUAUAAAUUCUUUAGCAGAGAGAAGACACUCCUCCUGGUCCCCGAUAUAGAACCUGUCGGAGGUCAAAGCUCUUCCCUUGGAACCCUCUGGGCCUGCGUUGACCUUUAACCUUUGACAAUAUCGUCUGACAUUUCUCACUUUAAAAAUAGCAAAUCCUCGUUCUUCCUGCUCUUCCUUCGCUCGCAUUCACGUGACAAUAUUUUUAGAGCUUCUUUUUUCGAUUUUUGAUUCUUCCACGAUUCCUCAUGAAUCUUAUCGCUGCUUCUCCACGGUACUGUCAGAGUCGAUGAACCGCGAGUCGGUAGAUACGCAUGAGUACUAUUUUUUCCAGCAUCUUCACAGACUACCCUUCUGCAAAAAAGUCAGGGAAAAGUUGGGAAGAAAAAAAACACCGGAUACUCUAAUUUUUAGUACCAAAGCAUUGCCUGUGUUUGGAGCAAUAUUUUCUAUCCUGCAGCUACCAGUCACAUAUGGAAAUAUAUGAAUGCACUGUCUAGUAUGUAUGUACAGUGCAUACGUAUAUUUAUACAUACGUACUAGGAGUACAGUGCUGCUAACUCGGAGUAAUUGGAAAUUAUUAGGCUGAAAGAACCGUUUAUCUUCGUUUAAAGAGAAACGCGACUCAGCCGAUUUUUCUUGUUUAAUUUUAUUCGAUAUCACAGCUCUUCUCUCUUUCUCUUUAAUUAAUUCCGUAACCCUGUCUCUGUCACUCACGCAUAUUCUCUAUUCUUCCUCAGUCGUACUGACGAUUGAGAUCAAACGUAACGUAUGGCGGGUUACUUGGUGACAACUCGCACUGGCAUUCAUUUGUGCUGGAAUGAGAAUUUCUCAUGGGUUAAGGGAGAGAUGAGUAUGGUCGAGAAGCAGCCCUAACAGGGAAACUCAUUACGGAAGGAAUGGUCCUAAAUAUAAUUUUGAAUUUGAAAAUUAAAGUUCCUAAGAAAUAAUCUCGUUUGCUACGUUAACGAGUAUUGUAACGAGUGUUGUAAUUAGUUGGUCGUGAGAAUCCCAACCCCUUCCCACCCCCACAGCCACCAUCCAGGGAAUUCAGCUCGUUUCCUUCUAGUCGCGACCGCAUCCACCGUUUCCUAUAGUAUUCACUGUGCUGGAGAUGGGAGAUUAAAAAUACCGGAGUCCAAAGUCGCUUAUCGCCUUCAUUGAAAGGGAGGGGAUGAAAAGAAAAAAGAAAAAAGAUGAUCGAAAUGAAACGAAGAAGGAAUGGUUGAGUCUUCGAGGCCACGGGGACGCGUUCGUCUUCUCACGUGUUACGUAACCGUAUGCAUAAUGUAUGCGCACCGUGACGUAAAGGAGGGUAGCGACCAAUAAAAAUGAAGCAGAAAGAAAAAGGGAAAGAGAGUGAGACACGUGGGGGACGUUAAGAAAACGAGAGUCAGGAGAGUCACCAUAUCCCGGCGCUGUUCAUCCUUUUCUUUUAGGCAAAUGAAAAUUCCAGAGGGUGGUGACGGUAAGAUUUUCUUCAAAGGUAUUGCUCGGCAUUGUUGUUCUGUUUCCUUUGACCUGGAAAAUGCUUUUUGGGAAUAAUGUAAAAUGCGAAAAAUGUGAGUGCGAAAAGACACGUGGUAAAACUGUCGUGAGGGUGGCAUGGAGGUAAAAUUGGUUUUCAAAAAUAUUCCCAGCACAGUGCCGAAAAUGUAAAAAAAAAAAAAGGGAAAAAUCCCUCAAAAAAAUAAUCACUAAUAUUUCACGGGUCGACCCCCCUGGGAUUUCGUGUGGCGGUGAGAAAGUGUAUUCCAAGAGAAGUAAAUAGGGACGGGGAUGAAAUUACAUAGGGUUGAUAUAAUGCAUAACAUCUCUGUAUUUAAAAUAAAUUACCCAAAGGGGUUGUAAAGA